GCUCGCAAGAGUGAAACGCAAAGGAAUUGACGGGGACCCGCACAAGUAGCGGAGCAUGUGGUUUAAUUCGAAGCAACGCGAAGAACCUUACCUAAGCUUGACAUCCCAAUGACAUCUCCUUAAUCGGGGAGUUCCCUUCGGGGACAUUGGUGACAGGUGGGGCAUGGUUGUCGUCAGCUCGUGUCGUGAGAUGUUGGGUUAAGUCCCGCAACGAGCGCAACCCUUGUCUUUAGUUGCCAUCAUUAAGUUGGGCACUCUAGAGAGACUGCCAGGGAUAACCUGGAGGAAGGUGGGGAUGACGUCAAAUCAUCAUGCCCCUUAUGCUUAGGGCUACACACGUGCUACAAUGGGUAGUACAGAGGGUUGC
This 367-nucleotide ribosomal RNA is filed under the name Clostridioides difficile. Its description in RNAcentral is "bacterial SSU rRNA". It matches the Rfam family "Bacterial small subunit ribosomal RNA", at positions 884 to 1250 of the family's 1533-position model. Lineage: Bacteria; Bacillati; Bacillota; Clostridia; Peptostreptococcales; Peptostreptococcaceae. The record is from RNAcentral.